Molecule: long non-coding RNA, 840 nt
Organism: Salvia miltiorrhiza (redroot sage)
Lineage: Eukaryota; Viridiplantae; Streptophyta; Magnoliopsida; Lamiales; Lamiaceae
Exons: 2
Source: RefSeq, a predicted model, not a curated record
CUCAGGUCGGUAGUAUCCACUGAUAAAAAAUAUCUUUCAAUUAUAUCUGCAUAUGUUUCCCUUGUCCAACAAUUGCCGCACAAAAUAAAUCUUUAAUUUUAGCACUACGCAGAAGAAGAUGACAAAAACUUUCAUAAUUAGAGACACUUAGUCCAGCCCUAAGCACAAACGACAUGAAAGGUAUACAUAAUGAAAUCUAAAUUAAAAUUUCCAUAAACAAAAAAAUCAAAAUAAAUAAAUAAAUAAAUUCCCGAGCCACAUAUGACAAAGCACACAAAAGCACUGUCUCUUCAGCUUGUAUAUAUAAACCUGCUUGCUCAUAAUAAAUUAAUUAAAUCCCAAUUGAGUUUUGUGACAAAUACUUUCAUUGUCUUCUCCACAAAUGGCUUCCACAAGAAUUAUAAUUAUGGCUCUUUUCUUAUUAAUGGGUCUUCUCAAUUCCUCACAAGUUACAGACGCUCGACAACUCAAUACACUGCCAUCUAAAGAAGGUGAAAAGAUGGGAAGUGAUGCACGUUUUGAGUGCCCGAAUGGGUGCUGUGGUAUAGCCAGCCCAUAUUGUCGAUGCUGUCCUUACCCCAACACUCACUCUUCCACCAAGCCACUUAUCUAGCUAGACUGCUUCAUGUUUUUUUAUUUUUUUUUCUUUGUAUAACUUGUAUCCUCUGUCUAAUCCUUCAUCUAAUAAGGUGUUCAAAGAAAGGAAAGGAAAGUGUGUAUCUUCAGAAAAUUUAGAUGAUUCACUCAAAAUGUGAGCAUCUUUGAGUGUAAAGACAAAAUAUAUAUUUAAUUUAAUAAAUAAUAAAAUUACAUACAAUUUUAAUAUUUUUAAAUUGAAAA